Molecule: long non-coding RNA, 573 nt
Organism: Labeo rohita (rohu)
Lineage: Eukaryota; Metazoa; Chordata; Actinopteri; Cypriniformes; Cyprinidae
Exons: 3
Source: RefSeq, a predicted model, not a curated record
UGGGAAGGCCAGCGAGGGGCCGCAGACUCCCAAACCUGAAACCUGCAGCACUGAUAAGCUGCACCUUGGUGGGCCGUGCGAGCAUUCAGGAGCCUAGAUCAGCAGGACUCCAACAGCAUCCAUCGGAGAGAGACGCUGGCUGCAUUUCACUAUUUAUUAUCAGGAUGCAUGCAGCUCUUCCAAAAGUGACUAGAUAACAGCAGAAUUGUCCAGCAGACGGUGAAGUGUUGCUGGAGGCUGAGCGCUGCACACAACCUGCAUUUACGGCUGUAGAAGAUGGAGACUUUCAUUGAAACUGACAAGCGAAGGUCCAGACGGAUGGCUCUGCUUGAGAUAUGUGACGCUGUGGGGUUCGACUCAGACGGGGAAUAGUUUGAACUAUUUAUGCGAGAGGCGCUCUCAACAGGAGUCCAACCGUACAUGAAAUGUUCAGCAAUGUCAACAACGCCGAAUGUAGGGCAGCCGAGAAUUCCCAGUGACAACAAAGGUCCGUCCUGGCGGUGCCAUCUGCCGCUACCAUAAAGAGGAGAGACGGGCGAGCGAGACGGUGCGUGACAGACUGUUUUAUUUGAC